AAUUAGCCCAUCUGUUUCUUUGAUUUUUUUGGCUUUCUUGUGUCUUCUGCAACCAUGGAUGGAAUGCUAAAACUUGUGUUAUCUCUCUCCAUUUUCAUGUCUAUGGUUCUCUCUUCAUCUGCUCAAAAAUGCUCUAGCUAUGCCUUCUCUAGCAACCAAGUCUUUAGUGCAUGCAAUGAUCUUCCUUAUUUGAACUCAUUUCUGCAUUGGAAUUAUAAUUCAUCAUCAAGCAAGCUUCAGAUUGCAUAUAGGCACUCAGGAAUCAGUUCCUCUAGAUGGAUUGCUUGGGCUAUAAAUCCUACUUCAACUGGGAUGGUGGGUUCACAAUCACUUGUUGCAUUCCAACAAUCUGAUGGAACCAUGAAAGCUUAUACUUCCCCUAUCAGCAGCUACCAGACUUCACUUCAAGAGGGGAAGCUUAGCUUUGAAGUCUCAAAUUUAUCUGCUACGUAUUCUAACAAUGAGAUGAUCAUAUUUGCCACCUUGGGAAUUUCAAGCAUUGGCACUACCACUGUGAACCAGGUUUGGCAAGAGGGUCCAGUUUCUAGUGACUCUCCUCAGGUGCAUUCCACUACUGGGGCUAAUGUUCAAUCCAUGGGGACUGUUAACCUUCUUUCUGGGACGGUUGGGGCUAGUGGAGGAAAUGACAAAACCAGGAAGAGGAAUAUUCAUGGAGUGCUAAAUGCAGUGAGUUGGGGCAUCUUGAUGCCUACUGGAGCUCUAAUAGCAAGGUACUUGAAGGUAUUCAAAUCUGCAGACCCAGCAUGGUUUUACCUACAUGUUAGUUGCCAAUCCAUAGCCUAUAUUAUUGGUGUUGCUGGAUGGGGUACUGGUCUCAAACUUGGCAGCCAGUCAUCUGGUGUUCAAUAUGAUGCCCAUAGAACAAUUGGAAUAAUCCUUUUCUGCCUUGGUACCCUUCAGGUGUUUGCUUUGCUUCUAAGGCCAAAACCAGAUCACAAGUACAGGUUCUACUGGAACAUCUACCAUCGUACAGUUGGAUAUAAUGUUAUUAUUCUUAGCAUCAUUAACAUAUUCAAAGGAUUUGAGAUCUUGAGCCCUUUAAAGAAGUGGAAGAACGCUUACAUUGGUGUGAUCGCAGCUUUGGCCUUCACUGCUGUAUGGUUGGAAGGCUAUACAUGGUAUCUAAUGAUGAAGAGGAGAAGAUUAGAUAGUGCUGGAAAGAUGCCUCAGGGCAUCAUUGCAUCAAAUGGGGUCAAUGGAUACAGCGAUAUGCGGAACCAGGGGAUCUGAUAUUUGAACAUAGGCUGUGGUUUCUGGUUGCUCUGUUAUAUUUGGGUUUUUCAGGUAUGUUUUGGAUCUCAUGUAUAUUUAUGAAUACCAUUUGGGAAAACUCUAUGGACAGCGGAAGGUUAGGAUUAGAAGUGACUCUUCUUAUAUUCUGAAAUCGCUUGAUCCCUGUUUGAUUAUGCACUCUACAACACCAGUGUCUAUAGUUUAAUCAAGAAUGUCUAUAAUUCAAUAGCAAUGAAUACUCACCACUUUUAAAUGUGAGUGCAUUCAUGAGCUAUUGAAGAACAAUUGCAUAAGGUGCAAAUGUCAUAUUAAAGAAUUAUGACAGUCCAGUAAUCGAGUGUAUAUCUCAUAUUGCUGGGAGGCGGAGCUUCAAAACUUUACAUUCCCUUUAAAAAUCUUCAAUGUAACAAGUUAAAAAACACAUUUAAGACCCCUUUGUUUUAUUUCAAGUACAACAGACUGUUUUUUUUUUACCAACUUUGAUUCUACAAAUAAUUUGGCAUUGCUAAAAUGGCACAAGCCAUUUGGCAGAAUCAUUACAAAUAUCAGCUAGCUGCCCUUCUAAACUAUCAUAAUAAAAACCAACGAGGACACCGCUAGAAGUUGUUUAGAAGACUGAGAACUGAAUUAUUAAACAGCAACUAAUUUGUAAUUUUUAUAAAAAAAUGGUUGCCUUCUCAUUCUGAUUGCUGCAGAGCCUCAACAAAUGCAUCCUUCAGGAGAGGGUUUGAAGCUGCCACUCUCUGAGAUGUGAUGUCAAAAUCUUUACCAGAUGGGUCAUAAACAAGUCCUCCAGCUUCUUUGACAAUCACGGCACCACCUGCUACAUCCCAUGGACCCCCAAAUCCAGUUUCAUAAAAUAAAUCAAGUCUUCCGCAUGCAAUUCCACAUAGAUUCAGUGCGCAGGAACCACUCAUCCUAAGGGAUCUCACCUUGAAAAGCAAGCUAUUAAUUCUGUUUGUAGUGGCAUCCACGGUAGCCUUAUCACGUUUUGUUCCAACCUCUGUUGCAAGAAGAGACUUCACAAGCUCCGUUUGUGAUGAUACUUUUAUAGGGUUGCCAUUAAGAAAAGCACCUUUUCCAAGGACGCCAGUAAAAAGCUCAUUUAAAAUUGGGUUGUAAACAACACCUACAGUAGGAACCUUUCCAAUUGUAAGACCAAUAGAAAUGCAGACAAGGGGAAACCCAUGCACGAAGUUGGUUGUUCCAUCAAGAGGAUCAACUAUCCACGUGGGUUCAUCAGUCAGCUCUGUAAUACCAUAGGCAGCAGUAGUUUCUUCCCCAAUUAACUAAGAAAAAAACCAGUAAACAAAUAGUACUCUGAGGAGAAAACACACUCCACAAUGGGCAAAAAAUCUAGAACUUCAUUAACGAGAUGGACAAAAAGGGAACUAUAGGAGUCAACCUUAUGUGUAGGGUAACAGUGUCUGAGAUGAUUAAAAAUGAGAUCUUCACAAGCCUUAUCAGUUUCUGUGACUAAAUCAACCUGGCCUUUGUGCUCGACAUGCUUGGUCUGGUAAAAUCCCUUGCAGAUAAUCUCGCCAGCUCUCUUGGCUGCUUCAACAGCAGUUUCCAGGAAUUCAGAGAGUGAACCAUUUUCGGCCAUUGUGAGAAGAAGUGGAUUAGUGGGUGAUGAAGAUGAUGAAAUGUGAAACGGUUUCUUCGAGUUUGAGAGGAGCCUUAGCGUCAAAGCACUCGCAGAAACAAAAUGGAGGCUUUGUUCGGCUUAUAUACAUAGACACUGUCUGCAACUGCGAGUUACGGAUUACGUCAGAGUUACUUCACGCAUCAAAUUCCAGGGGAAGAAAUAG
RNAcentral lists this unclassified non-coding RNA (3065 nucleotides) under Hevea brasiliensis (rubber tree). Lineage: Eukaryota; Viridiplantae; Streptophyta; Magnoliopsida; Malpighiales; Euphorbiaceae. The record is from RNAcentral.